CCUACGGGGGGCAGCAGUGGGGAAUAUUGGACAAUGGGCGAAAGCCUGAUCCAGCCAUGCCGCGUGUGUGAAGAAGGCCUUCGGGUUGUAAAGCACUUUCAGUGGGGAAGAAAGCCUUGGGGCUAAUACCCUCGAGGAAGGACAUCACCCACAGAAGAAGCACCGGCUAACUCCGUGCCAGCAGCCGCGGUAAUACGGAGGGUGCGAGCGUUAAUCGGAAUUACUGGGCGUAAAGCGCGCGUAGGCGGUCUGAUAAGCCGGUUGUGAAAGCCCCGGGCUCAACCUGGGAACGGCAUCCGGAGAGGCGAGGCAAGAGUGCAGGAGAGGAAGGGAGAAUCCCGGGUGUCGCGGUGAAAGGCGGAGAGAGGGGGAGGAAUACCAGUGGAGAAGGCGGCCUUCUGGACUGACACUGACGCUGGGGUGCGAAAGGGUGGGUAGCAAAGAGGAGUGAAAACCCUAGUAGUC
Molecule: ribosomal RNA, 465 nt
Filed under: Vreelandella stevensii
Lineage: Bacteria; Pseudomonadati; Pseudomonadota; Gammaproteobacteria; Oceanospirillales; Halomonadaceae
Description: partial 16S ribosomal RNA
Rfam family: Bacterial small subunit ribosomal RNA
Source: RNAcentral